This 468-nucleotide ribosomal RNA is filed under the name uncultured bacterium. RNAcentral's name for it is "partial 16S ribosomal RNA". It matches the Rfam family "Bacterial small subunit ribosomal RNA", at positions 28 to 507 of the family's 1533-position model. The record is from RNAcentral.
GACGAACGCUGGCGGCGUGCUUAACACAUGCAAGUCGAACGGAAAGGCCCUGCUUUUGUGGGGUGCUCGAGUGGCGAACGGGUGAGUAACACGUGAGUAACCUGCCCUUGACUUUGGGAUAACUUCAGGAAACUGGGGCUAAUACCGGAUAGGAGCUCCUGCUGCAUGGUGGGGGUUGGAAAGUUUCGGCGGUUGGGGAUGGACUCGCGGCUUAUCAGCUUGUUGGUGGGGUAGUGGCUUACCAAGGCUUUGACGGGUAGCCGGCCUGAGAGGGUGACCGGCCACAUUGGGACUGAGAUACGGCCCAGACGCCUACGGGAGGCAGCAGUGGGGAGUAUUGCACAAUGGGCGGAAGCCUGAUGCAGCAACGCCGCGUGCGGGAUGACGGCCUUCGGGUUGUAAACCGCUUUCGCCUGUGACGAAGCGUGAGUGACGGUAAUGGGUAAAGAAGCACCGGCUAACUACGUG